Molecule: ribosomal RNA, 293 nt
Filed under: uncultured Pseudomonadota bacterium
Lineage: Bacteria; Pseudomonadati; Pseudomonadota
Description: uncultured proteobacterium partial 16S ribosomal RNA
Rfam family: Bacterial small subunit ribosomal RNA
Source: RNAcentral
UGUGCUAAUGCCGCAUAAUCUCUCAGGAGAAAAGCAGGGGAUCGCAAGACCUUGCGCUUUAGGAGCGGCCGAUGCCUGAUUAGCUUGUUGGUAAGGUAAAAGCUUACCAAGGCUUCGAUCAGUAGCUGGUCUGAGAGGACGACCAGCCACACUGGGACUGAGACACGGCCCAGACUCCUACGGGAGGCAGCAGUGGGGAAUUUUGGACAAUGGGGGAAACCCUGAUCCAGCCAUGCCGCGUGAGUGAAGAAGGCCUUCGGGUUGUAAAGCUCUUUCAGCCGGAACGAAACGGU